This 744-nucleotide ribosomal RNA is filed under the name Triticum aestivum (bread wheat). RNAcentral's name for it is "partial small subunit ribosomal RNA". Lineage: Eukaryota; Viridiplantae; Streptophyta; Magnoliopsida; Poales; Poaceae. The record is from RNAcentral.
UUUUUUUUCCUUUUUCACCUAACCUUAUCACUACAGCCAGUUCACUCCUCUCCGUCUACUCAUCUUCCCGCCGCGUCGCCCCCAUCCUCCUCAACCGCGCAUCGCCGCCGGCCUCCUCCCUCACCCCCACAGCCACCACAACCGACGACCUCACCUCCCACCGCUGCCCCCUCUCAUCCCUCCCCACGGCUCAUCAGAGAAGAAAAGUGGCAGAUCGAGCGGCCAGAUCCGCCUACAUCCGGCCCAGUUGCAACAGCCGACGACCGCGGUGAGGGCGGGCGGCACCAACGCGCCGCUCUCGGCCGUGGAGCUGCUCCCGCCGGGCCACCCGGACCCGUCCUUCGCCUGCUCGCCUCCGCCGGCGUCUUCUCCGAACACACAGCCGACGGCGGCCGGAGGCGGUACGCGCUUGGGCUGGCGUGGCCGCGGCUCCGUGAGGCCGUGCUUGAGCCCUUUGCGCGCGCCCACGCCGGCGUCCCCGCCUACGCCUACUACGGCCUGGACCGGGAGGCGAACGAUGUGAUGCUCCGGGCCAUGACCGGCGUAUCAGAGCCGUUCAUGGAGGUGUUGCUGGACGGGUAUUGCCCCGGUGGAUGGUUUGAGGGCGUGGCCACGCUCGUCAACGUCGGUGGCAGCUCCGGCGCCUGCCUCGGGAUAAUCAUGCGCAGGGUGCCCACCAUCCGCCAGGGAGUCAACUUCGACCUGCCGGACUUCGUCGCGGCCGCGCCUCCCAUCUCUGGAUGA